UUAGCCUUGGGGUGGAGCACUGUUUAAACAAUGGGAGUGGUAUCAUUUUACUGAGUUUUAGCAAACUCCGAAUACGAGAGCAAUUCAGAAGCAGACAGACUUUGGGUGCGAAGAUCCAUUGUCGAAAGGGAAACAGCCCAGAUUAUUGAUUAAGGUCCAUAAAAAAAGUUAAGUGUUUAAGGUAGUCUUUGCUUUUUGACAGCCAGAAGAUAGGCUUGGAAGCAGCCAUUCUUUAAAGAAAGCGUAACAGCUCACUGGCCUA
Molecule: ribosomal RNA, 262 nt
Filed under: Vaucheria litorea
Lineage: Eukaryota; Xanthophyceae; Vaucheriales; Vaucheriaceae
Description: partial Bacterial large subunit ribosomal RNA
Rfam family: Bacterial large subunit ribosomal RNA
Source: RNAcentral